Hippocampus zosterae (dwarf seahorse) is the source of this 460-nucleotide long non-coding RNA. RefSeq lists it as uncharacterized. The transcript has 4 exons. The record is from RefSeq and is a predicted model, not a curated record. NCBI's taxonomy places the organism in Eukaryota, Metazoa, Chordata, Actinopteri, Syngnathiformes, Syngnathidae.
CCCACAGCUCCGCCCCUUCCGGCGAGACGGACGGACGCUCCAUCAAAGUGAGAAGGGGCAACAGGAGAGGAACGCACACCACGGCGGGACGCGAGGCUGAAGCCAGAUGGACGUCCGGUUGAAACUCACCUGGGAGACGGGUUUGCGGUUGCCCACGUAAUAUCUUAUGAGAGCGGGCACACUGUCAAAACCCUCUCGCUCCACACGGUACUCAACUCUGGAAUAGGCUUCGUUCAGCAUCACAACCUAGCGGACAAACGCUCUGCCGCGCAAUUCUGUCGUGCUCGUCUUGGCCACUUGGGGGCAGUACAUGACAGACGGCUUCACUGCUCAUUGGCACGUCAGUGUAGCGCCAUUAAUCACACAUUGUCGAGAAGCAAGAUUAAAUGUCUGUUGCCAUAUGAUAAGCUAUGAAUCAAGUCUCAAGUCUUGAAGGUUGGGCUAAAACAGUGAUGGACAC